This 435-nucleotide long non-coding RNA is filed under the name Anas platyrhynchos platyrhynchos (common mallard). RNAcentral describes it as "lncRNA (ENSAPLG00000018929.1)". Lineage: Eukaryota; Metazoa; Chordata; Aves; Anseriformes; Anatidae. The record is from RNAcentral.
CUGAAGAGCAGCACGAGAAGGGCGGGCUGGAUUGGAGCAGAACAGCCAAGUAGCACGAGGUGAGUGCGAAGGGUAUCCGUCUUGCUUUGCAGGUGCCAUGACAGGCUCUCCACAGAAGUGGCUGAGGAUUUGAGAAGAGGUUGCAGAUGAUCAAGGAGCGACACGUGCAGGGAUGGCUUGAAAAGGGUGAUUAGCUUCAGGUUCCAUGUGGGAGGUAAUGGUAGCUGAGUUGCACGUAUGCCAUGAGAGAGCUCCUUCUGCCUGGGCUGCUCUUUGGGAAUAAGUCCGCCCGGGCCCAUUUCGGCGCGGCGCCGCCCGGGCCCAUUUCGGCGCGGCGCCGCCCGGGCCCAUUUGUCCUGUGGAGCUACUGAGCAGCUGAGGUAAAGGAGUUUUGAACAGAGAGGUAUUGCACAACUGUAUGUUGCAUCAGUAGUA